GGUUCGGCCCUCGUAAUACCAUGACCAUUAGUCCCUGGCCCAUGCCAACUUUUAACUUUCAACUUUCAACUUUCUAAAACUAAUGGCACUAACAGAAACUUUCAACUUUCAUCUACUCUCAUUUUUUCAGUAAGUUAAUCACAAACUUGUGAUUCAAACAAUUUUCAAAGAAUUCAAAUUUGAACUAUUCAGACUUGAAAACUAAUGGCACUAACAGAAAGUUUAUACUUUUUCUAAAACUAAUGGCACUAACAGAAAGUUUAUAAUUUUGUUGACCUAAAAUCAAAAAGAAUUAAAAAAUAAAGCAAAAACAAAAGGAAAUAAAUAAUGCAGAAAACAAAACAAAAAAACUGGAANNNNNNNNNNAAUGUCAAGGCUGACCCAAGCAUCCUAAUAAACAAUGAAGAUUAUCCAUGGUUACGGUGCAAUAAGCAAAUGACACAAGCGAAGAAAAAGUGAAGACUUUCUGCCGCAACUUUGCAACACAUGAACAUGCUACCAUUGUCCGUUUUAUACAUGCACAUGCUAUGUGGGUGAAAUUAUGAUACCAUCCCAACUUUCAACUUUUUCAGAGUUCAUUUGAAAUGCUUUCAUGUCUUAUGGUUCGGUCCUCGUAAUACCAUGACCAUUAGUCCCUGGCCCAUGCCAACUUUUAACUUUCAACUUUCAACUUUCUAAAACUAAUGGCACUAACAGAAACUUUCAACUUUCAUCUAUUCUCAUUUUUAGUAAGUUAAUCACAAACUUGUGAUUCAAACAAUUUUCGAAGAAUUCAAAUUUUAACUAUUCAAAUUUGAAAACUAAUGGCACUAACAGAAAGUUUAUAAUUUUUCUAAAACUAAUGGCACUAACAGAAAGUUUAUAAUUUUGCUGACCUAAAAUCAAAAAGAAUUAAAAAAUAAAGCAAAAACAAAAGGAAAUAAAUAAUGCAGAAAACAAAACAAAAAAACUGGAAAAAAAUAAAAAUAGCAACAAUAAGUAUUUUGUUGUAAGUAGAAACAAAAUAAAAUAAAUAAAGAAACAAAGAAAACAAAAAACAAAAAAA
Molecule: long non-coding RNA, 1045 nt
Filed under: Triticum aestivum (bread wheat)
Lineage: Eukaryota; Viridiplantae; Streptophyta; Magnoliopsida; Poales; Poaceae
Description: long non-coding RNA (TAES_LNC026464)
Source: RNAcentral